Molecule: ribosomal RNA, 55 nt
Filed under: Escherichia coli 2-316-03_S1_C2
Lineage: Bacteria; Pseudomonadati; Pseudomonadota; Gammaproteobacteria; Enterobacterales; Enterobacteriaceae
Description: partial 16S ribosomal RNA
Source: RNAcentral
CCCGGUGAUCUAGCCAUGGGCAGGUUGAAGGUUGGGUAACACUAACUGGAGGACC